RNAcentral lists this ribosomal RNA (446 nucleotides) under uncultured eukaryote. Its description in RNAcentral is "eukaryotic LSU rRNA". It matches the Rfam family "Eukaryotic large subunit ribosomal RNA", at positions 1798 to 2247 of the family's 3401-position model. The record is from RNAcentral.
AUGGUACAUAAAAAUUUGGGGGGAAGAUCUUGCUUGAAUAGUCGUACUCAUAACCGCAGCAGGUCUCCAAGGUUAGAAGCCUCUAGUUGGCAGAAUAAUGUAGGUAAGGGAAGUCGGCAAAAUAGAUCUGUAACUUCGGGAAAAAGAUUGGCUCUAAAGGCUGAGUAUAUGGGCUAUAUUUUGAAGUUAUUGGAGAUUAGAUUGUUACGGUUGGCUGUCAUGGUUGGCUGUGAUGGUUUAGUUGAAGAUGAUGGAGGGGUAUAGGUAGAUGUAAAAAGUCUAUGCUGUAUACAAUUAACAGCUAAUUUAGAACUGUUACUGACCAGGGGAAUCCGACUGUUUAAUUAAAACAAGCAUUGUGAUGUUCUCAAUAAGGAUUUUAACACAAUGUGAUUUCUGCCCAGUGCUCUGAAUGUCAAAGUGAAGAAAUUCAAACAAGCGCGGGU